This 2289-nucleotide long non-coding RNA is filed under the name Solanum tuberosum (potato). Its description in RNAcentral is "long non-coding RNA (STUB_LNC004612)". The record is from RNAcentral. Lineage: Eukaryota; Viridiplantae; Streptophyta; Magnoliopsida; Solanales; Solanaceae.
ACCUCUUUUCAUCCUUUUCCUUGGCAAUAGAAUUUCAAGCUUCAUCUUUGUGCUUCGUGUUCCUGCAAUUUCCAGGUAUUUCUCAAUUGCUAUUUUCUGCUCGCCUUCAAUUUCCCCUUCCCCAUUCCUCUUUUCUUCUUUCUGUAUUUGAACUAAUUCUUAUCUGGGAAUUUGUUGUUGUAAUAAUCAAAGGGGGGAAAAGAAGAUAUGAGAGUAUUCUUUGGUUUUUUUGUGAAAUUUGAUUCUAAAUUUUGGAUACUCAAGUGAACUAAUCAAUCUUUGCUUUUGAUUGUUCAUAAAUAUAUAUUUUGUCUCUGCAGGACCGCACUCUUUCAUCUUCGAGCUUCUCCAAGUAUAUACUGACUUUUCAUCUUCAAUCUUCUCCAACUAUUGCUGCAAUUUUGAGGUAAUUCUUCGUUGUCUCUCUAUGUCGCUCUUACAAUUUCUUUUUAGAUUUUAUUUUGUCAAGUUUUUGUUUUCAUGUGUUAUUUUUCUCGAUUUUCUUGAACUUCAAUUAUGGGUCGAUGACUUGAUGUAGUUUGAAUAUGAGAAGAAUCCAAAAUGCAUGAUAAAUACUCAAAGAACCAUUAAAAAGCAGAAACAAAUCAAUCACAAAAAAAAUAAAAUGAACCACCGAAACAAGGAGUGCAUUUCAUGUGCAAGUCCAAGUCGUACAUACCCCACUGAUUUAUCCGAGGCAGCACCAGCAAUUACUUCUUUUGCACCAUCCUGUGUUGCAGAGGUGCAAGCAUCUUCACAGGAUGAUGUCGAGAUGGCCCUCCUAAAUUAACAGGAAAAUUUUCUAGGUAAAUUUCUUCCUCUUUCUUCUUUACUGCCUUGCUCUGCUCCCUCUCCCUUUUUUUUUUUUUUAUCUCUUUUGUUUGUUCUCUCUGAAUGUUGUUGAACUGUUUUCCCUUAUUAAUUGACAUGUUUUCUUCAGCAUUGUAUUCCUUUCUUAGUAAAAUAUUUUGAUUUGUUGCAUUUAGGAUCGCUCUAAAACAGUCUCUUUACCUCUGUGAGGUAGUGUUACACUUUAAGCUCCUAGAACUCACUUGUGGAUUACAUUGGAUAUGAUGUUGUUGUUAUUGUAUUUUUUUUAAAUUCGUUUCAGUUAUUAAUUUGAUUGAAUAUGCAAUUUUCAAAUUUUAGUAGUAUUUUUGAGUCAAAAUCUGAGUUUUAUUGGGUUAAGCCCCUGCUUCGAUUGAAGUUAAAAUCCUUUUUCCAGUUAGUGAUUAGUGAAAAAAAAGGAUUUUGAUUCCAAUUGAAGUUGGGUGCUUAGUAUCAGCAGAUUUAGGAUUUUUAACUGAGCUUUUUUGGAUAGCGAAGACAGAGAUUUGCGUAUGAAAGAGGAAGACAUGUAGGCAAUUACGGUGAAGUUGAGUAGAAAAUAUUAUACUUUGUUUACCUGAGAAGUGAGUUCCUCAUAUGAAAUAUGCUUUCGGAGAAACAUAAUGAGAGAGAUUGAAUUUUCUCUAUGUUCAGCAAUUGCGAAUGGUCUGCUAUGGCUUGGUAUGUGGCGUCACAAUGAUUUUUUUUCUAGAAUUCUAAGGUCUUGAAGAAAUAGGAAGAUACUUGAUCUUGGGUUAUUUAUCUAUAUGAUUAUCCGUGAGGUGACAUGUGAUUCUUCAAAGUCUUGAGGAUGAACAAGUAUGACUUGGAACAAGCAGUAGCUGGAGGAGUAGGUAAGUUAAUGUGGUGGUCAUUAAAAAUUAAUCAGUGUCGACAUUAAUUUCUACCUUCCUUUUCCAUACGGUGUUGAGCAAAGCAACGACUUCUAGCUUUUGACCAUUUUAUAUUUUGUCUCUACAGGGUUUCAACAACAAAGAGAUGAAUGAGGAGUUGCUCAAGAAGAAUAACGGCAACAUUAGAUCAUGAUAUAUUACAAACCCUUAAGUUUAUAAAGAGUUGACUUAGUUUUUUGGAUUAUCUUUCAGUUUAACGCAGGAAAAAAGGAAGAGAAAAAUUCUUAUCCCCAUCAGCUUGAAUUUAUUUCAUAUCUGUGAUGCUCUUUGAGUUAUUAUCUACUAUGAAUUGUUCCAAAAAUCUGCAAUGUUGUUGUAAAACAUUGUGUCUAAAUUUUGUUAUUUGGAUGGUAAGAAGUUCACUUUAUUUGUAGUUUCGGAAGUAUGGAAUUAAGAGGGACACUCUUUUUUCUUUUUUUUUUACAAGGGUAAGAAGUUUGAAUUGGUGUAACAAAAAUCUAAUCUUUAGGUUUCUCAUUCUUCCACAUUCAGCUUAUUAUUAUUCUGCUGUUGGAGUUCUGUUUUAGUAAUUAUUGAAGAAACCAGC